CAGCCGCGUAAUUCCAGCUCCAAUAGCGUAUAUUAAAGUUGUUGCAGUUAAAAAGCUCGUAGUUGAAUUUCGGGAUCGAAUUGUUGGUCGUGCUUCGGUACGCACUGGCAUUAUCGGUUCCUACCUUCUGAAGAACCGCGAUGUCAUUAAUUUGGUGUCGUGGGGAAUCAGGACUGUUACUUUGAAAAAAUUAGAGUGUUUAAAGCAGGCUUACGCUUGAAUACAUUAGCAUGGAAUAAUGAAAUAGGACGUUUGAUUCUAUUUUGUUGGUUUCUAGGAUCGACGUAAUGAUUAAUAGGGAUAGUUGGGGGCAUUAGUAUUCAAUUGUCAGAGGUGAAAUUCUUGGAUUUAUUGAAGACUAACUACUGCGAAAGCAUUUGCCAAGGAUGUUUUCAUUAAUCAAGAACGAAAGUUAGGGGAUCGAAGACGAUCAGAUACCGUCGUAGUCUUAACCAUAAACUAUGCCGACUAGGGAUCGGAUGAUGUUAAUUUUAUAAUGACUCAUUCGGCGCCUUACG
Molecule: unclassified non-coding RNA, 518 nt
Filed under: uncultured Glomeromycotina
Lineage: Eukaryota; Fungi; Glomeromycota
Description: SSU rRNA
Rfam family: Eukaryotic small subunit ribosomal RNA
Source: RNAcentral